UACGUAGGGGGCAAGCGUUGUCCGGGUUCACUGGGCGUAAAGAGCUCGUAGGCGGCUUGGCAAGUCGGGUGUGAAACCUCCAGGCUCAACCUGGAGACGCCACCCGAUACUGCCAUGGCUAGAGUCCGGUAGGGGACCACGGAAUUCCUGGUGUAGCGGUGAAAUGCGCAGAUAUCAGGAGGAACACCGGUGGCGAAGGCGGUGGUCUGGGCCGGAACUGACGCUGAGGAGCGAAAGCGUGGGGAGCGAACAGG
This 254-nucleotide ribosomal RNA is filed under the name uncultured bacterium. RNAcentral describes it as "partial 16S ribosomal RNA". It matches the Rfam family "Bacterial small subunit ribosomal RNA", at positions 524 to 776 of the family's 1533-position model. The record is from RNAcentral.